GACGAACGCUGGCGGCGUGCUUAACACAUGCAAGUCGAACGGAAAGGCCCUGCUUUUGUGGGGUGCUCGAGUGGCGACCGGGUGAGUAACACGUGAGUAACCUGCCCUUGCCUUUGGGAUAACUUCAGGAAACUGGGGCUAAUCCCGGAUAGGAGCUCCUGCUGCAUGGUGGGGGUUGGAAAGUUUCGGCGGUUGGGGAUGGACUCGCGGCUUAUCAGCUUGUUGGUGGGGUAGUGGCUUACCAAGGCUUUGACGGGUAGCCGGCCUGAGAGGGUGACCGGCCACAAUGGGACUGAGAUACGGCACAGACUACAACGGGAGGCAGCAGAGGGGAAUAUAGCACAAUGGGCGGAAGCAUGAUGCAGCAACGCCGCGGGCGGGAUGACGGCAUUCGGGUUGGAAACCGCAGUCGCCUGUGACGAAGCGUGAGUGACGGUAAUGGGAAAAGAAGCACCGGCUAACUACGUG
This 468-nucleotide ribosomal RNA is filed under the name uncultured bacterium. RNAcentral's name for it is "partial 16S ribosomal RNA". It matches the Rfam family "Bacterial small subunit ribosomal RNA", at positions 28 to 507 of the family's 1533-position model. The record is from RNAcentral.